RNAcentral lists this ribosomal RNA (466 nucleotides) under uncultured bacterium. Its description in RNAcentral is "partial 16S ribosomal RNA". It matches the Rfam family "Bacterial small subunit ribosomal RNA", at positions 28 to 507 of the family's 1533-position model. The record is from RNAcentral.
GAUGAACGCUGGCGGCGUGCUUAACACAUGCAAGUCGAACGGAAAGGCCCUGCUUGCAGGGUACUCGAGUGGCGAACGGGUGAGUAACACGUGGGUGAUCUGCCCUGUACUUUGGGAUAAGCCUGGGAAACUGGGUCUAAUACCGAAUAUGACAAUUGUUUGGAUGCGAUUGUGGAAAGCUUUUGCGGUAUGGGAUGAGCUCGCGGCCUAUCAGCUUGUUGGUGGGGUAAUGGCCUACCAAGGCGUCGACGGGUAGCCGGCCUGAGAGGGUGUACGGCCACAUUGGGACUGAGAUACGGCCCAGACUCCUACGGGAGGCAGCAGUGGGGAAUAUUGCACAAUGGGCGCAAGCCUGAUGCAGCGACGCCGCGUGGGGGAUGACGGCCUUCGGGUUGUAAACUCCUUUCGCAACCGACGAAGCCUUUUGGUGACGGUAGGUGGAGAAGAAGCACCGGCUAACUACGUG